CCUACGGGAGGCAGCAGUGAGGAAUAUUGGUCAAUGGACGAGAGUCUGAACCAGCCAAGUAGCGUGAAGGAUGACUGCCCUAUGGGUUGUAAACUUCUUUUAUAUGGGAAUAAAACGUUCCACGUGUGGGAUUUUGUAUGUACCAUAUGAAUAAGGAUCGGCUAACUCCGUGCCAGCAGCCGCGGUAAUACGGAGUAACCGAGCGUUAUCCGGAUUUAUUGGGGUUAAAGGGUGCGUAGGUGGAUUGUUAAGUCAGUUGUGAAAGUUUGCGGCUCAACCGUAAAAUUGCAGUUGAAACUGGCAGUCUUGAGUACAGUAGAGGUGGGCGGAAUUCGUGGUGUAGCGGUGAAAUGCUUAGAUAUCACGAAGAACUCCGAUUGCGAAGGCAGUUCACUGGACUGCAACUGACACUGAGGCGCGAAAGUGUGGGUAUCAAACAGGAUUAGAUACCCGGGUAGUC
RNAcentral lists this ribosomal RNA (460 nucleotides) under uncultured bacterium. RNAcentral's name for it is "partial 16S ribosomal RNA". It matches the Rfam family "Bacterial small subunit ribosomal RNA", at positions 338 to 795 of the family's 1533-position model. The record is from RNAcentral.